GACGAACGCUGGCGGCGUGCUUAACACAUGCAAGUCGAACGGAAAGGCCUUUUCGGAGGUACUCGAGUGGCGAACGGGUGAGUAACACGUGGGUGAUCUGCCCUGCACUCUGGGAUAAGCCUGGGAAACUGGGUCUAAUACCGGAUAGGACCGCACUUUAGUGUGUGUGGUGGAAAGUUUUUUCGGUGUAGGAUGAGCCCGCGGCCUAUCAGCUUGUUGGUGGGGUAAUGGCCUACCAAGGCGGCGACGGGUAGCCGGACUGAGAGGUUGGUCGGCCACAUUGGGACUGAGAUACGGCCCAGACUCCCACGGGAGGCAGCAGUGGGGAAUAUUGCACAAUGGGCGCAAGCCUGAUGCAGCGACGCCGCGUGGGGGAUGACGGCCUUCGGGUUGUAAACUCCUUUCGCCAGGGACGAAGCGUUUUGUGACGGUACCUGGAGAAGAAGCACCGGCUAACUACGUG
This 463-nucleotide ribosomal RNA is filed under the name uncultured bacterium. RNAcentral's name for it is "partial 16S ribosomal RNA". It matches the Rfam family "Bacterial small subunit ribosomal RNA", at positions 28 to 507 of the family's 1533-position model. The record is from RNAcentral.